GAUGAACGCUGGCGGCGUGCCUAAUACAUGCAAGUCGAGCGAACGGACGAGAAGCUUGCUUCUCUGAUGUUAGCGGCGGACGGGUGAGUAACACGUGGAUAACCUACCUAUAAGACUGGGAUAACUUCGGGAAACCGGAGCUAAUACCGGAUGAUAUUUUGAACCGCAUGGUUCAAAAGUGAAAGACGGUCUUGCUGUCACUUAUAGAUGGAUCCGCGCUGCAUUAGCUAGUUGGUAAGGUAACGGCUUACCAAGGCAACGAUGCAUAGCCGACCUGAGAGGGUGAUCGGCCACACUGGAACUGAGACACGGUCCAGACUCCUACGGGAGGCAGCAGUAGGGAAUCUUCCGCAAUGGGCGAAAGCCUGACGGAGCAACGCCGCGUGAGUGAUGAAGGUCUUCGGAUCGUAAAACUCUGUUAUUAGGGAAGAACAUAUGUGUAAGUAACUGUGCACAUCUUGACGGUACCUAAUCAGAAAGCCACGGAUAACUACGUG
RNAcentral lists this ribosomal RNA (497 nucleotides) under uncultured bacterium. Its description in RNAcentral is "partial 16S ribosomal RNA". It matches the Rfam family "Bacterial small subunit ribosomal RNA", at positions 28 to 507 of the family's 1533-position model. The record is from RNAcentral.